RNAcentral lists this non-coding RNA (26 nucleotides) under Homo sapiens (human). Lineage: Eukaryota; Metazoa; Chordata; Mammalia; Primates; Hominidae. The record is from RNAcentral.
UCGGGCCACCGAUGAGUGUACAAACA